GAGGGGAAGGUGAAAAGAACCCCGGGAGGGGAGUGAAAUAGAACCUGAAACCCUGCACUUACAAGCUGUGGAAGCACAUUUCUUGUGUGACCGCGUACUUUUUGUAGAACGGGCCAACGAGUUACGUUAAGUAGCCAGGUUAAGCACUUAAGGUGUGGAGCCGUAGCGAAAGCGAGUUUUAACUGAGCGUUCAGUUACUUGACGUAGACCCGAAACCGGGCGACCUACCCAUGAGCAGGAUGAAGCGAAAGUAAAAUUUCGUGG
This 264-nucleotide ribosomal RNA is filed under the name Clostridioides difficile. RNAcentral's name for it is "partial 23S ribosomal RNA". It matches the Rfam family "Bacterial large subunit ribosomal RNA", at positions 505 to 769 of the family's 2925-position model. The record is from RNAcentral. Lineage: Bacteria; Bacillati; Bacillota; Clostridia; Peptostreptococcales; Peptostreptococcaceae.